This 221-nucleotide long non-coding RNA is filed under the name Homo sapiens (human). RNAcentral's name for it is "HSALNT0315485". The record is from RNAcentral. Lineage: Eukaryota; Metazoa; Chordata; Mammalia; Primates; Hominidae.
AGAGAUGGGGUCUCACCAUGGUGGUCUGAAACUCCUAGACUCAAGGGAUCCUCCUGCCUUGGCCUCCCAAAGUCCUGAGGUUACAGGACUUCCAACACUAUGUUGAAUAGGAGUGGUGAAAGAGAGCAUCCCUGUCUUGUGCCAGAAGAACCUCUUCAGGGAGAACUACAAACCACUGCUCAAUGAAAUAAAAGAGGACACAAACAAAUGGAAGAACAUUC